GCCGCCCGGAAGGGACUGACAUUUAGUUGGGGCUCACUGGCUACCAGGCCCUUCUCAGUGCUCACAGCCACCCUGCCCAGGAGGAAGCUCUAAGACCCACUUGUCUGCGGUUUGCUUCACAGAUGAGGCAACCGAGUCGUGGGGCUGGUGAGUGGCACAGCAGGGUCAUGGCCCCCGAAGAACCUGGCUGUAGAACCUUCGCUCCUUAUCACAUUCCUCCUCGUCAGCAUCUUGCCGGAUCCUCCUGCCCCCUCCGGGAUGUGUGCAGGUGCAGUAUUUUCCAUGAGGAUAUUAAAUCAGGCCUUCUGCCCGCGUCCAGAACGAUCCGUUUCCGAAUAUAAAGACGCAGGAGAUGUCAUUACCCAAGGUAUUUUUCCUCCUUUCAACUUUCUCCCCCCAACUUUAUCAUGGCAGCUCUUUAUUUGCUGCGGAAUAAAUUGGGUCCUCCUCCCCUGCCCCAGUUAUUAGCCAAAGGAAAGGAAAGGAAAGAUUCUUGCAGGCUGAUGAGGGAGGCCAGGGGCACGGGGGAGACGGGCAGAGCCGAAGUUUGCCCAGGGGACCUGAGGACCCAGGCAGAGCGGCCAGCAGGGGGCGGGGAGGGGGAGCCCCACCAGACGCUUCCCUCCCCGGGAAGGGCGCUGGGCACAUCAGCCAACCUUCAAGGUGGGAUAUUUGGACCAUCCGUAAACACCGGAGAAGAGAAGUUCAAGGGCACACGAAGACCCGGGGCCGGGAGGGAGCCGGAGAGGACCUCAGAGACACAUCGGUUGCUAAAGAGAGAAAGUGAGGCCACGUCACAGGCUGAUGAGGCCACGUCCGAAAGGCUGUCGUUUGGAACAAGACGGGGACGGUGGCUG
Panthera uncia (snow leopard) is the source of this 857-nucleotide long non-coding RNA. RefSeq lists it as uncharacterized. The transcript has 3 exons. Lineage: Eukaryota; Metazoa; Chordata; Mammalia; Carnivora; Felidae. The record is from RefSeq and is a predicted model, not a curated record.